ACCUCCAUCACUAAAAUUGAAGUCUGAAGCUGCAGGUUUUUCUGUGAAUCAUGAUGAUUGAGCUUCAUAUGAAGAACAGAAGAUCAUUAUGAGAAACUCCACAACAUCAUCCAUGAUAAAAGAAGUCAAAGGUCACAGAUCUGUUUCUUUAAACAGUAAAGUUCUGUUGUAAAUGAGAUCAAUAAAUGCUUGUUUGUGUGAAAAAGUGAUUGUUGUUCCUUUGAGAAGCAUUUUGUCCAAACUGAAUGUUUGAGUGUUGAGAAGAUCUGAGUUUCUUCUAAUAUCAGUGUGUUGAAGUGUUGUUUCUCUCUCUCUGCUGGAGUUUGUGUUCACUCGAGUGGAAUAGAGGUUUUUGUACGACCGUUUCAUUAGAUUGUAUCACUGUGGUACACAUUCGGUGGAGGAACUAAACUGGUGGUCUCUGGUCCCACAGUGAAGCCCUCAGUGUCUCUGCUGCCGCCCUCUUCUCUGCAGAUCUCUGGAGACUCAGCCGCACUGCUCUGCCUGCUCAGCUCUUACUCUCCACAGGGGGCGCUGGUGAGCUGGACACUGGACGGGUCAGAGGUCACCGAGGGGGUCGUGACCAGCGCAGAGAGCCAGCGGGACGGCCGCUACAGCCGCAGUAGCGUCCUGACCCUCAGCAAAGCACGCUGGGAAAAGGGAGAGGUGUACGUCUGCAGAGUAACACAUGAUGGAGCUCCUCAUGAGGUCUCGUUCCACAAGAGCUCUGAGUGCUGAUGUUUCUCUCCUGAAGAUGAGCCGUAUCUGAGUGUCCUGUGUCAGGCAGGAUUCACAUGAGUCUAGUGCUGCAGCUGUAGUGAUUUACAACUCAAUACUGAAAGAGAGCUGGCGUGUCAAAGCACUGUGUGAUCUUUCAAUCUGCUGUAACAUUCAAUAAAGCUUCUCAACAAGUUCACUUUGUGUCUGACAACAUCAUUCAACUAACAGAUGAAGAUGCAGGUGCUUUUCACAAACUUGAUGUAAAUGUCACAUAAAGCUCUUGGGGUUUGAACAUGGUCUCUGGAGACAGAGCUGCUCUAUUCUGAGAGGAUCACAAUCACUCCACCCUGACAAUGCAAAUGGGCUUUUCAGUCUCACUGUUUGAUUGGUCACAUGAUCUGGACUGGAACACACCAGUUUCACUUCUGCUGAAAAUGUGGUGAUGAAAAUAUAUAUGAAAAUGUCAUGAAAAUCACAACUAAAACUAGUCAUGUUUGUUGGUUGAUGAAGAAGAGCUCUUGAUCAUGUCAUGUUCAGUUCAUAGAGCUAUAAACACAUUCAGAGCAGUGAAGCAUGUGCCGCUCAUGUAAAACACCCUCUGAAUGCAAAAGACAGAAGAGAGAUCAGGACGAUAUACAUUCAGAGUCCAACAGUUUGACUGACAGGGUUAAAAGAAAGGCUUUACAUUGCCAAAGCACAGUAACAGUAAAUAUACAGAGUCAGACAUACACAUUUACACAUCAUUCUCUACAGGACACAACUGAAUGAUUCCUGCUGUAUCAGUAGUCAAUGAUCUUGCUGCUCAACAUUCAAACACUUGUCUAUUGUUUGCUGUAGCAGUGCAGUGUACUUUCAGAAACCCUCCACCUCCCCCAGCUCCACCUGUCCAGAUCUGCUAUGGGGUGAUUCAUGUUUGCUCGUACAGCAGCAGCAUGUUGUGUGUGUUUUGGCAGUGGAAAGUUCUGUACUCUACAGCAGAUAUAAUCAACAGCAGCAGACCAAACACAUUAACAUUGUCAUAUUCAUUAUCAUGACAAACUCUCCAAGAAUUGUCAUGUCAGAAAUCUAGUUCAGUCAUGAAACUGAAGAUGGCACAGGCUUCGAUCGGUCCUUUACAUGCAGUCUGUAAGCAAUCACAUCAAUACCAAAUGACUCAGGCUGAUUGGUCUCUGCUGAUCCUGCAGCCAAUGAGAUCCCUUGCUCAACAUUUAAUAGUCUGGUUCAGUGUUUGCUGUAGGCUAGUCCUGCAGUGCUAUAAGAGUUCUGACAAACAGAUAAGUCAACAAUGUUUUACCAUUCCAGAUACAAAACAAAAUGCAAAUGUUUUAUUGAAGUUGUAAUCUAUUAUGCAACUAUCAAAUCAUCUAAUACCAUUAAAUAUGAAGUGUCUUCAUAAUAUGUGUUAUUUUAUUAAAUUAUAGGGCUUGUUUUGUUUGUUUUUAUUUAACCCUUGGGGGUCCCUGAUAAUAUAUCCAUCAUGAAAUGUGGAUAUAGAGAAAAGGCUGCACCCACUUCAGCCCCUCAUUUCAUUGAACAGACGUGUCAUAUAUAGAUCCGCUGUGAAGUCCAAAAACUUUUUAUGUUUCCUGAGGGCGACACCAUGCCAUAGAGGAAUAAAGAAACAAUUCUAUAAUUGAGUUAAUUUCAGCAAAACUUGUAUGUAAUGUUCUAUUUUCAGUGGUUUAAUCGGGAACAAUUACUGGGACACCAUAAGAAGAUUUAUUGUUUCCCCUUUAAGCAUUUGCGCUCAUGCUGUAUGUCGACGGGGAAGCAGAGGUCAUUUUGACAAAUGUUUUGUUAAUAAAAAGGCUUAAAUACAAACACUUUUCUCUCUUUGCUGUGGAAGUUCAGUAUAAGAGGAAAUGUUAGGCAUCUUAGGGGGGCACUGCAGUAUUGAUCUGGUGAAGGAGGAGGCCAUCGAGUAAAAAAGGUUGAGAAACACUACACUAGUGUCAUCACAUCGACACAACGUCAAAGUGACUGACAGAUAGAGAACUCAGUUAUGUAACAGACACGCCAUCUAGUGAUGAAGCAUGGAAGUGCAAUUAAAGUGACGGACUUUCCUGCAGUUCGAUUACAUUGUAGUGGAAAGUUUUGCAGUGCCAAGCACCACUAACAUUUAUAUAAUAUAAAGAUGAUGUUACAUGCUUAGUACAUCAAAAUAAAUAAAUAAUGUUUCUGAAAGGUUUAAUAAAACAUUGUGUUGUUUGUGAUCCUCCAUCAGCAGCUGCAGUAUCUCUCAGCUGUAUCAGUGCAUCACUGUGACGUCUGACUGACCGAGGUUUUUGUACCACUCUUUAUCACUGUGUGAACACCCUAGUGCUGCCUGGAUAGUGGAAACUCUGACAGUAAUAAUCUCCUGUAUCUUCAGUCUGGACUCCACUGAUGGUCAGAGUGAAAUCACUGCCAGAUCCACUGCCACUGAAUCUAGAUGGAGUUCCUGUAUAACGGCUUGUUGCUGCAUAUAUGAGGAGUUUAGGAGCUUCUCCAGGUUUCUGUAAGUACCAGUAUAAACGAUUACUACUAUACACUGCACUGCUGGUUUUACAGUUUAUUCUGACUUCUUGUCCUGGUUGAACUGCUGUUAUUGAUGGACUCUGAGUUACAGUGUACUGUCCUCUAC
Ctenopharyngodon idella (grass carp) is the source of this 3343-nucleotide RNA transcript. It is a transcript of the gene named immunoglobulin kappa light chain-like, with no coding region annotated. The record is from RefSeq and is a predicted model, not a curated record. Lineage: Eukaryota; Metazoa; Chordata; Actinopteri; Cypriniformes; Xenocyprididae. The transcript has 5 exons.